This 312-nucleotide long non-coding RNA is filed under the name Manihot esculenta (cassava). Its description in RNAcentral is "long non-coding RNA (MESC_LNC003348)". Lineage: Eukaryota; Viridiplantae; Streptophyta; Magnoliopsida; Malpighiales; Euphorbiaceae. The record is from RNAcentral.
CGGGUUUUAUUCGGAUAAUAAUAAUCGGAUUUGGGACUGAUUCGGAUAAUUUAAAUUAAUUUUUAAUCGGGUUCGGAACGGAUUCGGAUAUUACUAAUAUAAAUUGGAUUUGGGUUCGGGUAGUUUAAUUUUCGCGGUUACCCUACCCGUUUACAUCCCUAGGAAAGACCCUAACGCCACUACCCUUUCUAAAUUCUUGGUCUUCGUGGUGCCAUUUUAUUAAUUUCUUCCAUUUUAGCUUUUGCAUUUCUUCUUUGGUGAAUUGGGUUCCUUUUCUUGUCCACUACGGGUGGAUUUGAUAUUUGAUUUGAG